UCCCCCCACACCCCCUCAAUGAGUGAGCGCUCAGUAAAUGUUUUGACUGUUUUAAGUUAACAUUUAAGUUUCAAUUCAUCUUUUUUCUGACUGGGAGCGUUCCCACCACUGACCGUACCUGACACCACAAUCAGAAUUUAAUUUGUGCAAAUUGAGUGAAUCUGCUAUCUUAAUUAGAGACGAAGAGACACUCUUCUCCAAUACAGCCCACUUUGCGGUGAGGAUGAUAAGACUCAUUGUGUAGCUUUCAUUAUGCACCAGAACUUAAACUAAUUAAAAUCAGCUACAGUAAAUUAACUAUCAGAGGCAGUUUUUGAACUGUGGGUGGACACAAUAACAGGAACACCUGCAAUCCAAUAAGGUCUCUCUGUAAAAAAUCAUAUAUCUGUGAAAGAUUAUAGAAUAGGACUUUUUUUAUUUGCCAUAUUUAGGUAAAGAUAGGUAUAUAUAAUAUAUAUAUAUAUAUAUAUAUAUAUAUAUAAAUCUGAAAGUGGUCUACAAAAUACAAGUAGACAGAUCGGUAUUACAGAUCAGAUCUAAGAGGAUGCAACUAUUUCUGUGACUUCCUGUUAAUUCUUUGAAGGCUGCUGGAAACUGUCCAACUUGACUGUGGGGUUUUUGUUUGAUCCAAAAACGCCUGCAAUUACUGCUUAUCGUCAAAGAGAACAGAUGUAACUUUAAUAUCAUUUGCAAACACCUGUAGGCUUUUCCUGCUAAGCCAAGUUCAAAGGUUCUGCUGUGAAAAUCAUAAAUUUGGUUUGUUUUAUUGAAUCAGAGAUUCGUUGUUGUGGUGAGGCAAACAGCCUCACCUUUAUCCAUGAUUUAUGUAUCCAUGGUAUUGAAUCCAAAAUUCUUCCUCACAUUACUUCUCAGAUGGUUUGGUGUUAUAAUCUGAAUCUGUCAGUUCAGCACAGCUCACUAGUUUUCUUCAUUUUGGGUCAGCAGUAGCUUACUUUAUCAAAAGGGAAAUGAAGAAACGCAUUUUACAAACAUUGCAAGUUUGAACUUGGACAGAUGACGGCAGUGUACCGAGACAAUACACCACACAUCCUAUAUGUGGCGAAAAUGUUUAUACUGUAAAUGCACUGAAAAUAUAUUAAAGGAAUAUUUCACCCCCAAAAUGACCAAUUGUAUAUCAAUUACUUACCCCGUGUUGCAUGUCUCCACGGUGAAUGAAGAAUCUAUAAAAGGAGUAAAUCCUUAAUGAAUUGAAGUAAAUAGAGGCCACGCUUAACAACAGCAAAACUUUAUCAAAACAUAUAUUUUUGGGAUUUGUAAACGGAUGUUUUGAUAUAGUUUUGCUGCUACCUUUGCACACUGUUUUACAGUAACCUUUAUUUAUUGCCCAUUUUAAGUAUUUAUAUACAUAGAUUUAUUUAGGCAUAAUCAACUGUCUGCCAUUCGUUGUACACCAGGUCAUUAGCUCCAUGUAAAACACACAGCUACAGAUCCACACUCACACACAUCACCGUUAGACACAAUCUCUGGUCGGCUGAAUAUUUACUAAAGCUGAGCUAUCUGUAUGCACACUGUGAUAAGCCUCUGGACUGUUUCUAGGUGUGUGUGUGUGUAUAUUAUAUAUGUGCGAGGGGGGGGGGGUUUGGUGUGUAUAUGUGCUUACCUGUUUGCAUAUAUAUUUCUGCGUUUAUGUGUGUACACACAGGGUAUGAUAAACUGCUUUAUCUGCAGGCACUUAGGUACUAGCCGAGCUGUUUGCAAGCCCAUUAAUUGUCCAUUAGCCUGAGCCACAUGGCUACCACAUGUCUCUCUGGGGCUGCAGAGAGAGGUUUACAAAUGGAGGAGACAAAGCUUUGGGCAACAAGCACACACACACACACACCAUGUACACACCACUGAUGCACAAACAAUAAAACACAAACAGAAUGUGUAGUGAGACGUCGAGGCAACAUGGUUGCAUUAUAUGAUGUAAAUCAGGAGUUAAACGUGCUCGGGUACGCCGGGCACUCGGUUCUCCGUCUUCAUAUCAGCCACCGUCUCUCGUUCAUCUGUCACAUCUCAUUGGCCUUUAUUUCCCCAGACACACAACAUUAAAGCCUAUUAUUGUGUAUUGUGAUCUGCUUUGCACAAGUCACACCCCUCCACCAGAAUGCAUGCAUGCACACACACACAACGCACACACACACACACACACACACACACACAACGCACACAAACACACAUGUUCCCACCCUGCCCCCCUCUCCCUGUCAUCCCACCUCAGGGCUCCAUCUCUCAUUUACCCUGGUUACCAUGACAACAUGGUUUGCGCCACUGGCAGCGAAAGAAGCAGAGAGCAUGAUGGGAAACAAGAGACAGAGAGAUAGACUAUGAGCAGACAUCAACAAUGGAAUAAAGAGUUACUGCUGAAGAGGUUGUGUUUGGACACCCUGCCAUGCUGCUCCGUGUCUCUUUGUGAUGUAUUCUUUUACAACCACUAACUCCUUUUUUAAUCUUUUUCUUAUGAAGACAGCACAAUGCUAAAUCACCAACACGCCGCCCUCUUUUUCCUCUCUCCAUUCCUCUCCUCCUCUUCCACACUGAGUAAAGAGCAGAGCUAGCAUAUCAUCUGCAUUCAUCUCCUAUCCUGCAGUGCUAGCAGCAGACCUGCUGCGGCAACAGCUCUCAUACACAUUAGAGGAUAAUUCUACUUUAUUACAACUGGGGUGUUAUUUUCAUAGUUUUGGCCAUCGGUUCUAUACAAUGAUGUGGCGACACAUGUGGUUCGCCAGAGAGGCAAAUGUUAAAAUCACAUUAACUGUUAUUAACAUCCAACAUACAGGGUUACGGGACUGACUGUCUCCUAAACAAUAUGUUCAAUGAAACUGCAUCGUCAAUGACGUUUUUCGAGGGAAGUUCUUCAGUUUCAAAAUAAGCCGUGGAGGAACAACUUUAAAACAUCUGGAACCAUUAACUUUAUCAGAAACUUUAAUUCCCAUGAUCCUUCUAGAGAUUCGAGGUCACACCUAUUUUUGACGUAAGCCGCGCGGUUCACAGCAACAACAAACAGUGAAAGUGAUCUAUUUACGGUAUAAUGACAUCAUACCAGUAAGAUUACUACAGUUUCAAUGUCUAGACAUCUGUAGAAUAUGUUACGCA
Sebastes umbrosus (honeycomb rockfish) is the source of this 3096-nucleotide long non-coding RNA. RefSeq lists it as uncharacterized. Lineage: Eukaryota; Metazoa; Chordata; Actinopteri; Perciformes; Sebastidae. The record is from RefSeq and is a predicted model, not a curated record. The transcript is spliced from 2 exons.